GGGCUCACUUUGGCAACACAUACAGUAAAACUGAAAUGAUACGAGGAGAUUAGCAUGGCUGCCACUGUGCAAGGAUGGCACACAGAUUCCUGAAGCAUAUUUUUUUUUC
Molecule: small nuclear RNA, 109 nt
Organism: Mesocricetus auratus (golden hamster)
Lineage: Eukaryota; Metazoa; Chordata; Mammalia; Rodentia; Cricetidae
Source: Ensembl